This is an RNA transcript of Pelodiscus sinensis (Chinese soft-shelled turtle), 1559 nucleotides long. RefSeq lists it as uncharacterized. NCBI's taxonomy places the organism in Eukaryota, Metazoa, Chordata, Testudines, Trionychidae. The record is from RefSeq and is a predicted model, not a curated record.
CAGACUGCAGCAGCCCCUGUCCCUCGCAGCUGACAGAUAGUAGCAAGGUGCUGGCCCGCUAGAAGAGUCUGAAGAAGAGGGAAGGGAUUUGGCACAAGCGUAGUUGUUGAGUGCAGGGAGCUCCACUGUGCUUCUGUAACGGAACCCACGGCUCCCGAGGUCGCCUCUCUUGCCUCACAGGGGCCGCGGUCCCAUCACAGUCCGUCUGCCGCGCAGGCAGCUAGUUUAUCCCGGGGACACAGGCAGUCACGUGAGCCCACGCUCAGCGUGGGGGGCGCUUUUACUGGCCACCUGCCUUGCGCUCGGCGGAGGCAGAAUGUCGUCGGGCCGUUGCAGUUACUGUGCGCGCGGGUCGGUGCUUCUGCACCUGGCCACAAACAUCACCCUCCACCACGCGCAUGCUCUGCCCCAGGGAGCCGCCUGGGCCGGGGUCACGCUCCGCUGGCGCUUAGACCAGGCUAAGAUAACGCUGUAAUUGUUUACUCCUCAAGCUACUCUUCCCUGAUGUGAGGGCGAGAGCAAGUCGAUACAAGUCAGUGGCUAAGCUAUAUUAAGGCUACUGUGACUAUACAACUAUGUCAACAGAUAAAUGAAAGUUUUAAAUAGUUUAAAAGUAGAUGAAAUUGGGCCACAAGAGUGUGUGAUCAUGUCAUGAGAAACAAUAAUGCACAAAUAAUCAGUUCUUUCUCAGCUACUAAACAUUCACUUCGACAUUUGUGUUCGUGCUUGGAGGAAGAUUAGUUAAGCUUUUUGAAAGAACUUACAGGAAACUUUAUGUGAAGAUUGACACUGAAAUCUCUUUCCAUCAGUUUGUGGAAAUCCUACAUCACUGUCUCUUUAAAGAUGGAGCCGAUGCUGCCUCCCGCAGUGCACCGGGCAGAGCAGCUAACGCCACUUCCGGAAUUGCCAGAAGUGGCGCUAAGUUGCGGGACUUCUGUCCAUCGCCUGGAAGCCGACACUACCUCCAUUUUCACUUGAGGAAUUGGAUGAAGAUUUACAUCAAAAAUUGAAACAGAAAUGAAUCUCUUAGUAACUGCUUCAUCAGAAAAUUGCAACUUACAAAUUAUUUUACCAAAUGCAUUCUCCGAGUUUAACCCUUUACAGACAGUACUCCUCUCAUCCAUCACAUACAUACUCCGCAUGUGCCAGAGGGCCACAGAACUCACUGGAGAGCUCAUGUGUUGGAUCUGAAGCCACAUUGGUGGAGCCCCAGUCUCAGAAGUGAAUUUAAUCAGAAGAAUGGGAAGGAUAACUGGAAAUUGUUUAAGAACACUUCACGAGAUGCUGAAAAAGGCACAAUUGAAGAAAGAGGCCAUAUUGGUUAAAAAAAUCAUUCUGGUUGGGAGGAGAGCUGAACCAGUUGUGAAACAUUGUAUAUAAAACAAAUGGAGGAAAAGUGAAGUAAAUGGCAAUAAAUGAAAAUCAGAAGCUAAGAAUUUCUGGGGAAAAUAUGAUAACAUGUGACAUCCUCCAAAGAUAUUAGUAGAGUGGGAAUUCUGUAAUACAGUCGCUCAGGGAUGGGCAAUAAUUUUUGAUGGGAGCCACUCCAAGAUUUUGGA